GCCAACGACCAACACAUUCUUGCCGCCAUAAGGUUUCCCAUUUUUAUACUGAGUGGAAUGAAUAACUUCUCCAGUCCCGGUAGCACUACUGCAGAAAGAGCACAGUCCUCGAAUAUCCGGCGUAAAAGGGUUGGUCGUUUCCCCACUUGCAACCACCAGAAACCUCCCGGAAUAAUAUUCCUCAAUCUCACGGCCGGGACUUAGUAAGUUGCUAGCCUUAACGUUCCACAUAUUGGUUGCCUCGUCGUAGCUCGCCGAUUCAACCGAUCUUUGGUACCGUAUUGACGGACCGAUGUUGAAAUGGGAAACGUAGUGAUCCAAGUGUUCAAUGAAUUGGGCUCUGGAGACAAACAUCGGAUAAGAAGAAGGGAAUGGCAGGUGAGGGAGCUGACAAAAUUGCUUUGCUAAGUGCAGACGUAGGCGAUCGUAGGAAUAUUUCUUCCAGAUGGACGCGUAACAAUUUUCUCUUUCGAGGAUUACGUAAGGGAUUGAUUGAAGGCUAAGGCAGGCCGCCGUCGCCAGGCCGGACGUUCCUGCCCCUACCAUUAUCACUUCUACUCCCGCCGCUUGCUCUUUCAUUUCUUCUUCUUCUUCUUCUUUUUCAGGUUAAUUUUGAGUUAAGUUGAUUGUUAUUGCCCGUCGGGGGGUGCUUAUUCAAUUUAUAUACUGAAAAUCUUUACGUUAUAUGUACGACUCCAAUCAAUUUUUAUUUUGAUACUAUUGAAGAAGAUGUAUGUUACAAGACACUCGAUUCACGAACUCCACGUAGUCGGACCUUAUAAGGAAAAAUUGUGGUGCAAUUGUGUUAUGGUAUCACAGUUGCACUCAAUCGUUGGAUUUCGAUGGACCUCACUCAUCUAAAUGGAUCUAACGGCUGGAUGUAACUGUGGUACAGUACCACAGUUGCACUGUAGCCGAACCUUAGAGAGAAAUAUUAUGGUGUAACUGGGUACCGUGUCACAAUUGCACCCGAUCGGUGGAUCUCGAUGGACCCAUCCAAAUGAAUCCAUCGACCGGAUGUAACUGUGACACAAUAGCAUAGUUGUACCAUAAUCAGACUUUUAUAUAUAUAUAUAAUAGUUUUCAGGUGCGAGAUAUUUUAAAAUGAGGGAAAAGUUUGAUAAAAUUUUAAAACAAUAGAAUUUAAGUGGUUUAAAACUUAAAACGAUUAAACCUUAUAAUUUAUUCUUUUUCUCAAAUUUUCCGCACCACGAAAUUUUAGAUUGAAACCUCUCUGUUUGUUUGUAUGUUCGCUGCCACCCCACCAUGUUUGUAUGUAUGUUCGCUGCACCCCACCAUGUUUGUAUGUAUGUUCGCUGCCACCCCACCAUUUUAAUUUUCUCAUUCUAUGUGAUAAAUCAAUAUUUUUUUAUGAGUAAUGAUACAGCCACAAACUCUUGUACAAACUUAUUUUGUACAAACUGAUGUGGCAUGAUAAGAUUGGUUGAAUUAAAUAUCACUUGACCCACAUGAUUUAUUUUUAUUAAUUUAUAUUUUCAUUCAACCAAUGAAUUAAUGCCACGUCAGUUUGUACAAAAUAAAUUUGUACAAGAGUUUGUGGCUGUAUCAUUACUCUUUUUUUAUACGUCCUUAGUGUUACGAGAAAAACUUUUUAUGUAGGGCCAAAUGAUUAGAGUACUGCCAAUUUAACAGAUUAUUGAGGUAAUAAUUAAUCAUGCACAAGUAUUUCUCCAAAGAACGCUCAAGGAAACUUGAGCAACAUAGAGUUUUUUUUCUUCUCUUUAAUACAAAAUAAAGACAAGUAGCAUCAUUGUAGUUCUUAAGCGUGCAUUUUUUUUUCUUCUCUUUAAUACAAAAUAAAGAAGUAUUACAUUUGCAUAUAAAGUAACAUUAUCUAGGUCAUAUUACUAUUAAGGAAAAUGCUAUUUGCAUAUGAAAAAUAAAGUAAGGAUACUUGUACACAAAGACAAAAUUAGUAAAAUGAAUAAGUUUGUUUUAUAAUGAAAUGUUUCUUAUCUUUAAUGACCAUGUAUAAUUUUAUGUACAAAUAAUAUUACCUACCAAAUGGUUAUGCUACCUCGAAUGGACGCAAAAUUAUUGGAAUAUAUUAAAAUCAUGCAUUGUAUAACUUUUAUUUUUGUUUAUUUAAUUUUGGCUUAAGAGAGAAGAAACAGAUUAGCAUGCUUUAUUUGAUUGAAAAAGACAUUGAAAAUAGCAUUCUUUGUGUUUCCACAAAUGAAGUUAUCCCCACAGAUUUCAGUUUAUUUGGAAAUUUGACAUCCACAUGUUUAUUUGGAAUUUCGACAUCCACAUUCAACAAUCCUUGAAAACGAAGACGGAAAAAGGAAAUGAGUUGGAAGAUGUUCACAUAAUUUCCCUUUCUCAAUAACUACCACACCUCAUCAAAAUUGAAGUCCCAACUCAGACAUAACAUAUGCUCCCACACAUACGUACGGUCCAGAAAGACUCAACUAGGGUUGGCAAUGGAACAGGAUGGGAUGAGAUUUACCAAUCUCAGUAUCCCAUCCCAUCCCAUAUAUGUAAAUGAGAUGAAAAAAUGUUUCAGUCCCGUUUUUAUAUUUUUUUUUGGACAAAAAUAUAUCUCAAUCCCGUCCCAAAAGAGAUGGGAUCUAGCGGUAUCCCAUCCCAAUUAAAAAAAUUUUCAUUCUUAAUCGGUAAUGAAACGGGAUGAGACGAAAUUUGUCAAUCUCACUCUCGUCCUACAUACGUAAUUGGGAUAAAAUGUUCCACUCCCAUCCCUAAAUUUUUUUAUGAGACAAAAAUAUGUCUCAAUCUCGUCCCAAAUGAGAUGAGAUCCCGCAAGAUCCCAUUUCAUCGGGAAAAAUUGACAUCCCUAGACUCAACCAUAUACUUGUACUCUUGAAUGGAAAAUUUUGCCAGCAUGUUUCCUUGUUUGUUGGGUCAAAAAUAAAAGAAAUUAGGGAAAAAGAAAAAAAGCAAAUUGAAUUUGUCAAUGGAAACAUAAAGAUCACUUGACGUUUCCAAUAAGGUAUUUCAUGACAAACACAUUUUGAGAAAAUCCUUUACACCAGGUCAGAAAGUACUUUUGUAUAAUUCUCGAUUGCAUCUCUUUCCACGUAAGUUACGUUCUCAAUGGUCUGGUCAUUUUAUAGUUCGUACUGUCUUCCCUUAUGGAACAAUUGAGAUUGAAAAUCCUAAAAAUGGUGAUUUAUUUAAGGUCAAUGAUCAAAGAUUAAAACUAUUUUUAGAGUUAAGAACACCAUAAGUUUAGGAGAUACUUUUAGAUGAUCCUGUUUAUCAGGAUUAAUUAAGUCCAUUUUUGCACUCUUGUUUUAUUUUAAUAGUAGGUUUUCUUUUCUUUGUUUGUUUUUCUUUUCUAGUAUUUUUCUUUUCUAAUGUUUUCUUUUCAUUUGACAUUUUCUUUUAAGCUUUCACAGCCCAUCUAGGUGUGUUCUCUCCAACUUUCUUUUUUAUUAUUUAUGUUUUUAUAUUAUUUUUACUAUUUAUUUUUCUCAUUUGUUUGCAUGCAUAUCUUUUGUUUGUGAAACAUUGAGGACAAUGUUCCAAAUAAGUUUGGGGGUGGGAAUAGUGUGUGCUUUGUUUGUUAAAAAAUAAAUAAAAAUUGUGUGUGUGUGUGUGUGUGUUUUUUUUUUUUUUUUUACAUGAAAAGCCAAUGAUAAGAACUUGAUUGACAAUGAAUAUGUUUUUUAGAAAGGGUUGAAUAUUGUCUUAGUUUAUACUUGAUUUUUGUGUUAGUUCAUCUUGAUUGAGAUUUUUUAAACCAUAAGCACUAAUAUCAAUUCUUUCAUAAUUUUGACUUAUAAUUUUGACUUGAAAUUUGAGAUUGACGCAGCCUGAGUUGAGAAUUUUAGAUAGAGUAAAUGAAUGUUUGUCUUGAUUCUUAUCUCUACAAUACAAAAUAGUAUACACGGCGCCAAAGUUAGAAAUAACUACUUAUAACCCUUAAGAGUGAUGCUAUCAUUGAGUAAUUUGGGCCUAUGUACCACAAGUAUGUAGAGAAUAAUCUACCAUGAGAAGAAUGCUACCUUAAGGGGUAGAGUGAAAGCUCCUAACUAUGGUUUUAAAAAAAAAAAAAGAGAAGAAAAGAGAAAGAAAACGGAAAAAAAAAGAAAGAAAAAUCAAGUGCAUGUGUUGAAAUUAAAAAAAAUCAAAAGAAAAUGCACAUAAAAGCCUGUGAAAAAAAAAUUGGAGAUUAAGAUGAUAAGAUUAGUUUGACUUACUCUUUUCUUUGUUUGAGGCGAAGGUUGUUGAUAUUGAAGAUUUUGGGAAUUGAUUUGAUUGAAUUGAUUUCACACACACACACUACAAGAAUCAAAAGAGAGCUGGAAUUGAUAAUUGAAUUAAAGUUGAAAAGCUUGUUGGGUUGACUGAAUGAAACUUUGAAGUGUAUCAUCUAAAUAAGGCUUUCUUUGUUGGGGUGCAACAAAUUGAGACAUAGGUUGUUGGGCAGGAGGAUAUACUUGGUUAUGAGGGACAAAUUGUUGAUUGGGCAUGUUAAAUUGUUGCCCUCCUUGGUUUGACAAAGGUUGAUUUUGUUUCUAAGAAACAUUAGGGUGAUUUCUCUAAUUAUGAUUAUAUGUGGAUGACUAUGGACUAUUGGAGGUUUUCUCAUAUGAUUGUAAGGCAUGUACUUGCUCAGAAUAAGCCUUUUGAUAGGCUGGUAAUGAUGGACAAUUAUGUGCCGCAUGAGACACGUUAGAACAAAGAGCACAAACCUCAUUAGCUACACUAGGAUGAUGAUUCGUUGAUUGGUUCAGAGCUAAGGCAUCUACUUUCCUAGAAAGUGCAGCUAUAGUGGAUUUCACAUCAAAAUCAUCCUUAACUUCAUAUAACCCCUUUCUAGAAACUUGAGAUGAUUUUUCCCUUUGAUUUGAAAAAUCCCACUGUUGAGAAUUUUCAGAAAGUGAAUUAAAGAAAUCCCAUGCAACCCUUUCAUGUAAGUUCAAAAAUCUCCCACCAUUCAUAUACUCUACCAUAUGACGAUUUGACAUGGUUAAACCAUUAUAAAAGCAUUGUAUAAGUCUCCAUUUCUCAAAACCAUGGUGGGGACACUUGAUGAGUAAAUCAUUGAAUCUUUCCCAGCACUCAUAAAAUUGCUCACCCUUUCUUUGAUAAAAAUCACUUAUCUCUCUCCUAAGGGAAUUUGUUUUAGACAUAGGGAAAAACUUGGUGAGGAAUUUAUUACUCAAUUCAUCCCACGUAGUUAUAGACCCAGCAGGAAGUGAAUUCAACCAAGCUUUCGCUUUAUCUUUUAAUGAGAAAGGGAACAUACGAAGCCUAAUUGACUCAUCAUUAAAAUUUUAAAAACGGAAUGUAGAGCAUAUGUCAAGAAAUUUCUUAAUGUGCAAAUAUGGAUCAUCUCUCUCUAACCCAUGGAAAGAUGGUAAAAGUUGAAUGACUGAGGGCUUAAGUUCAAAGUGUGUUGCUGUAGUUUGUGGCAACACAAUACAUGAUGGUUGGUUGGCUGCAAGUGGUGAAAAAUGUUCUCUAAGGGUUUUAUCUACUUGCACUGGUGGUAGUACUGGCAAUAAUCUAUUUAGGUCAUUCAUGACUUGAGAAGAACUAGCUUGACUACUAUCAAUUUUUUACUCUUUUUUAACCAAACGAUUUGUUGAAUCACGUUCCAAACACUUAUAAACUAACUAGACAAGGAAAGAAAGAAAAAUAAAAUAAAUAAACCAACAAAAAUGAGAAUAAACGAAAUUUAAAAAUAUAAGAAAUCAAACAACCAAACAAUGAAUUUAAAGACAAAUAAAAGUUGUUUUUUAAUAAAAAAAUAAAAGACAACCUAAAUUAUAACUAGUGGAAGAAUCAAAUCAACCUAGAUUAAACUGACUUUCUAACACAAUCUCAGACAACAGCGCCAAAAACUUGUGAAAAUUUUAAUAUACUCUCAAGCGCACGAAUCUAGAAUAGAGUAGUGGUAACGAGGUCGAUCCCACAGGGAUUGUUAUAAAUUGAAAAGUCUAAUUUAAAUCUAAAAUUAAUAUUAAUUUUAACCUAGUUAAGCAAAUUGAGUUUUAAGAGAAAUUAAACUAAUUAAACUAAGAAAACAAUUAAAGUAAAUGAGAUUUCAAUAAGACAAAAAUUACCAAGGUUUCGGAAUCCACCACUAUUCAACUAGUAAUUAUCUAAUUAUUAAUUAAUCUCCAAUUUUAAAGUGACAACUCGAAAUCAAUCUAUGUCAUCUCAUGGAUAUAACAAUUAAGUCUAAAUAAAAUUAAUCUUAUGUAGAUUCUUUUUCUGCUUAAUAGUAUAACAUCUAAGAAUCUCAUGUAAACAUAUUGAAUAACAAAGAGUCAAAGUUUCCCUAAGCACUCUAUGUAAACAAUUUAAUGAAAGACAUAAAAUCAAAGACAAUAAUGUAUAAACUUUAUAGAUCCAAGCAUAGAUUUAAUCAAAUAUUAAUCCUAACAAUCAAUAAUGCAUGACAAAAUUGAUGAAAAGAUUUUAUUAACAUUCAAUUAAUCAUGUGAAAUAAAAAUCAUAAUCAUCAAAGAAUAUAUAUAGGAAAUUAAUUAAAUAAAAAUAAUUAUUAUUUCAUUGAAUAGGGUUUCAUCUUUAACCUCAGUAUAAGAAAAUUAACUAGACAUACUUAAAUUGAGAGAAAUAAAGCAAAUAAAAACAGCCAUGGAGAAGCUGAAUUGUUGCUGCUCUUCCCUGCCGAAUCGCGUCUGCGUCCUCCCUUUUGUUUCCGUCCAGUGGCUCCUCCUUCUCCAAAAGCCAAAACUCCCUUUUAUAAUCUUUAAAAUGGGCCCCACCUCUUAAAUCCUAAAGCCAAAAGCCUUGGCCUUUUACUUGAUUUGCUCUCACACAAGUCCUGGGCACUUAGAAUUGCUAAAAGACUCAUUUUUCCAUUUAUAAAAGCCAAGUGUGGGUCCCUUCUUAAAGCUAAAUCAAUUUUUCUCCUUUGUUCGCAUGUACAUGAUGAAUUAAUCUUGUUGAAUUCAGUUCCUUGGCUUGAUUUCCUCAUGCACGUAUGUCUAAUUGCUUCCAAAAAUCAAUUAAUCUUUAAUGCUUACAAAUUGAACUCUUUUAUGCUCUUUUUAUCCAUAAUCUCCAAUUAAUUCCCUAUUCAAUAAAAUAAUUUAAUUAAUUAAAAAUAACAAAUAAAAAUAACUACCAAUUAAAUAAUUAAGGGUAAAAUAUGUAUAUAAAUUAUGCUCAUCAACGAUGUAUGUUAUUUUCGCUCUCUUUGUAAGUUCUCAUUUCUCAAAAGUACUGUAGAGCAUACUGUAUUAGAAUAACAUAGUAUGUAAGCUAAUUUGAAUUUUGUUUUCAACUUAAAUGUUAUAAUGGUAAUUAUAAUGGAAGAAAAUGUAAAUUAUGUUGUUGCUUUUAUGGUGCAUUUAUUUUUUAUUUUUGGAUCAAGGAAUUAGAAUCUCAAAUUGAAAUUAUUGAUAGUGUUUACUUGAUAAAAAGAAGGUGAAAAUAUAAGUGAAAGUGAUGGGCUUUGUUGGACCAAAAAUAAAAUAGGUCCAAUCAAGGCAUAAAUGAAUUUAAUCUCAAUAAGACCCAUCUAAUAAAUUUACUCUCAAUUAAGUCUACAAAGUACUGAACAAAUCACCUAUAAUAAUCCUCCUAAGUAAUAAAGCUUCAAAACCCAAAGGGUUCCAAGAUCCAAGGCCAAAUUUAUUCUAAAGUCCUAAGAUCAAUCCUAAGACAAACCACCUAGGAUAAUCCUCUUAAGUAACAAGACUUCAAAGCCUAAAAGGUCUCAAAGUCCAAGACUAAAAGAUUUUAAAGUCCUAGGAUCUUAUCUUAAGGCAAAACACCCAGAAUAAUCAUCCUAGAUGACGAGGUUUCAAAGCUCAAAAGAUACCGAGAUCCUAGGCUUCUAUCCUAAGACAAACUACUUAGGAUAAAUCUCCUACGUUCUAAGGUUCUCAUCAUCCCAGAGUUUUAGUAAAAAUAACUUAAGGUUAAAACACUUCUUUCUUUAUAUAUAGAGACAAACUUGUAUAUUCAUGUGUCAAUCAACAUGGGCACAAACAAACAAGUGUUGCCAGACGUGAUAAGAAACAUCCUUUAGUCGUGUAUUUUGUUCACUCUCACUGUACCCUCAUCAUGAUUCUCCCAUGUUUUUGGUCAGCAUGCAAAGACAAGUAUCUAGUUUUCGAGUUUGAAGAUAAUUAUCUUGCUGUUUUGGAGGGAGAAAUAGCAGUAGCUGCUUCAUCAUGCAUUCUCAAAGAUUAUGGAAUUCUGUCUGAAAGAUCUUCUGAUCUGUUGGAGCCAUAUGUGGAUCCGUUGGGGGAAAUCCAGGCAAUAAAUCAAGAUUCAGGCGACAGCCCAGUUUCAGAUUUGGAAAUUGGUUUUGACGGACUUAAAUGGGCAUAAUCAUGAGAUGUUGACAGUUCAAUCCAAAGACUCUCUCACGAUCAGCCAUGUGGGAACUGGGAAGACACGGUGAGAGUGAUACAGCCAACAGUGGACCACCAAGUCUCGAUGUCGAGGCUUCCGCUUUCGGGUCCUUUCAGGGACAAAAAAUGGGUUUUUUAACAAUUAUCAUGGCCGGUUUUUCAUUCUCUUUGUGGUUGGGUUUUUUGAGUUCGAACAUCGAGCCAACAACUUCCUGCUUAUCUUUUUUUUAUUUUUUAUGAUUUUUUCAGCGAGAGCAUUAUUGUAGCAGAGGUUGCUAUCAUUAGCCAUGAAAGCAUCGGAUGUAAUGUUGUGACAAUAAAAUUAUUAAUUUUAUUCAUAAUAGAAGUUAAUAAUGGUGAACAUACUGCAUUUUUUAGAGUAUUCAAAUAAAGUAUUUUAAAAUCCGAUCCAGAACUUAUUUUCUUAUAAUAAUUAAAAUUCCAAUCACGUUACAAAUUAACAAAAUUUUAAAUAUUGAAUAAAACUCCCAUCUAAUGUUUAUUUAUUUAUUUUACUUACCGAAAGCGAACAGGAAGAAUCGCAGAAACAGAAAUCAAACAGAAACACAACCACCAAGUGAUUUUUAAGUCAUGAAACACAAUGUUCAUUUCAAGGGCAAAAUCGUCAGACAACUUAUGUCAAACAAACUUUCCACGGCAAGUCUCUAUCUCCUCCUCUGGUCCCGUGUUAUUAAAAUCAGCACCGAUAUUCAGCACACAAUAAGCACCACAGUAAGCCCCGAACGGUGCGUUUUGUGUGCAAUAUAAAAGGCCACUGUUUAAACAAACAAACACAUUACACGCGCACCUCACGCAUGCAUCACUCUCACUCUCAUUCACACCAAACCCAGUCCUCAUUCAAGUUAGAAAUCUGAACAACUAUUUCUCCCAAGGCAUUUUUUGUUUUACUUGUGGGCUGUUCCUCACAGUGUGAAAUCCGUCGGCUCUCUCACGGUAUAUCAUGCUCUUAGUUGUGUGAGGAAUGGAGUUGCAUCUUGGAGACUGACUUCACUCAUCGUCGACUGCGGCAAUCAAUUUCUGCAGGUAUGCAUUGGAUGCGUAUAUGUUGCAGAUUAGGAGUUAUAGAAUCUUUGUUCAAGACGACUAGUUAAAUCCUAGAUGCACUAAUUGCGAUCGAGGAUAUACUUUUUUUUAAUUUCAUUGAAAAUGAAAAAAAAAAAAAAAAAGAACCCAGCCCCCAGGCCACGGCAGCAGGCCAUUUCACUUUAGUUUUAAUUUGCAACCCAUUAUUUUAAUUUAAAUUAAGUUUAAAAAAUUACUUAAUGAAAUGGAAAAAUAAAAAAUCAAGACAGUGAUCGGCAUUUUAUCAGUAACGAUUUGGCAUGCAUUUUUGUCCCAAUUAAAAAAUCAGUACAAUAACACAUCAUUCGAUUUAAUAGAUUGGAAUUGACAAAUCAUUUACACAUUGCCUAAGUAAUAGAAUGUUGUUUAAUUGUCUAGUAUAUGCUGCAGAUUCAGCUGGUAAUUGACACUGCCAUAAAUUAUUCCAUACUUAUUUGUUUAAUUUUCUAUUACAAAGUUAAUAGUAAGCACGAAAUAAAUAAAUAUAUACUGCAAAUUCAACUGGUAUAUAUUAAAUUUGUGUUCACAAUUUGCAUAAUUAGUUAGUUUAGUUUUGUAAGGUUGUGCUGAAUUAUUUGUAUUUUGUUACUUUCAUUUUGUCAAUGUGAAUUAUUUCAAUUUUGUAGAAAUAAAUAAUAUGGAAAAGGACAUCGAAGUUGAAGAGUUGGAGAAAAUUGAUGAGGACGAUGAGCCAAUAAUUGGGAUGUCAUUUGAUAGUGAUGUCGAUUUGUUUAUUUACUUCAAAGAGUAUGGUAAAAAAAAAGGGUUUCCGGUUUUGAGGAGAACUAGUAGAAAUGAUAGUGAUGAGAUUCUUAGAAAUGUGACUUUUGCUUGUGGGAGAAGUGGUGAAACAAGAAGCAAAUAUGUGAAUAUUUUAAAGCUCCAACCUAAUGCAAAAACAGGCUGCAAUGCUAGAUUGGGAGCUGGUUUAGGGGAUAAUGGAAAGUGGACAAUUCAAAGCUUAAAUCUUGAACACAACCAUGUGCUGUUAACUCCAACCAAAUCCAAGUAUUUUCGAUGCAAUCGUAGCCUCAAUACAUAUGCAAAAAAGAAGCUUGAUGUAAAUGAUCGAGCAGGAAUCAGAUUGUGUAAAAAUUAUCAAUCACUUGUUACUGAGGUUGGCGGUCAUGAAAAUGUGACAUUCAUAGAAAGAGAUUGUAGAAAUCAUGUUCAGAAAGAAAGAAGAUUACGGCUUGGAGAUGGAGAUGUUGCUGCUCUUCAAAACUAUUUUAUGAAAGUGCAAGUAGAAGAUAAUAGGUUUUACUUUAGUAUGCAAGUGGAUGAUGAGAGACGAUUAAAAAAUAUUUUUUGGGCCGAGCCAAGGAAUAUGGAAGCGUACAAAGAGUUUGGAGACGUUGUUACAUUUGACACCACGUAUCUUACAAAUAAGUAUGAUAUGCCGUUCGCUCCAUUUGUAGGAGUUAAUCAUCAUGAGCAUUCUAUUUUGUUUGGGUGUGGAUUGAUUUUACACGAAGAUAUUGAGACAUUCACGUGGUUAUUUCGAACAUGGCUAUCCUGCAUGUCUAAUUCAGCUCCUAAUGGAAUCAUUACAGAUCAAGGCAGGGCAAUGAAAGUUGCAAUUCAGAAUGUCUUCCCCAAUACUCGACAUCGGUGGUGUUUAUGGCAUAUAAUGAAGAAAAUUCCAGAGAAGCUAGGGGGUUAUAAAGAAUAUCGUAACAUAAAUAAUGUUUUGCAUUGUGCUGUUUAUGAUUCCCAGAGUGCUGCGAAAUUUAAGGAAACUUGGCACCGCAUGAUUAUAGAAUAUGAUUUGGGGGAUAACGAAUGGUUACGAAGCUUAUAUGAUGAGAGGCAUCAUUGGGUACCUUGUUAUCUAAACAAUACUUUUUGGGCAAGAAUGUCAUCUACUUAACGCAGUGAAAGCUUGAAUGCAUUUUUUGAUGGUUAUGUUAACUCAAAGACUACUUUGAAGCAGUUUGUAGAGCAAUACAGUUGUGUGUUGAAGAAUAAAGUUUAGAAGGAAGUUGAAGAAGAUGUCAGGUAUCUUUCCUAACAAAUGCAAUGUGUAACAUCUUAUGCAAUGGAGAGGCAAGUCCGAGAUGUGUACACUAUUUCAAAAUUUCAAGAAUUUCAGCAAGAAUUGAUUGGGAAAAUGUAUUGCGAAUUUGUCAAUUCUAUGGGUUGUGAAUAUAUAGUUAAAGAGGAUGUCAAAGUUGGAGAGGGUAAAAAGAGAACCUUUUUUUAAGUAUAUUUUGAAAAAGAAAAUGGUGAAAUACGUUGCAGCUGCUCAAGGUUCUAAUUUAGAGGUAUUCUUUGUAGGCAUGUCGUUACAAUCAUGAUCCGCAAUGACGUAGAAGUACUUCCAGAAAAAUAUAUUUUACGAAGAUGGAGAAAAGAUGUGUGGAGAUGCCAUAGUAGAGUGAAAACGAUUUAUGAGCUUCAUAGUUGUACGGAUGAGCAAAAACGAUAUGAGAAAAUGUGUGCUACUUUCGCGGAGGUUGCAAAUAUGGCUGCACAUAAUAUUGAAAGCUCUAAUCUUGUUUUCAAUUGGAUUGAGAAUGUACGGGAGGAUUUAUCAAAGGCAAUUCCUUGCAGAGAUAAUGAAGUAACUGUUGUUACAGGCCAAGGAAGUUGUAGUGUGGAAGUAGAAACAGUUAGAGAUCUAGUAGCUCGGCAUCGUAAAGGUCGGUCGCCUUGUCAAAGAAAAAAAUCUAAUAAAUUUUCAAAAUCUAAAAUGAAUUCCUCACAUUCCAAUGCAAAGGUACUUUUAAAAUGUAUUUUCAAUUUAAUUAAAGUUAAAAAAUUUAUGAGAUAAAUGAUGUUCAAAUGUAUGUUUUGUUGACUUUGCAGGAUGGAUAGGUGAACGAGCAAGUGCUGACUGUGAUCCCAACACACGAGAACAAUGUUGUUACGGUAGGUUUUAUGGAAUUCAUAUGCAUGUCGUUGAUUUUUAUUACUUAAUCAUAGACAUUUUUCUAAUAUAUUAUUGAUCCUUUGUAGGCAUUUCAAAAUUCUGAAGGAAGUUGUGUUGAUAUGAAUAUGUACCCACAUGGAGUUAUGGACUAUUGUAAUGUAAGUUUUUCAUAGUAUAUGUUAUGAUUUUUUUUUAUUAUCGCUUCAUUUAAUGUAUGUUUGUUUUAGGGUCUUAUGAGCUUACAUUAUAUGGUUUGGGAUAAUGUUUAUCCAACACCUACACAAAAUUCUUGUACGGUAAGUGGUGAUAAAUUUAGUAUUUAUUCAUCUUAUCUACUUUAUUUUCUUUUAUUAUAACAAAAUAUUUAAUUUUUCUUUUAAUAGGAACCACAAUUCCAUCCGCAUGGACAUUUUCAGCAGCUACUCUUUCAGCAAGAUAGUGAAUAUGAAGUUGAUAAGGAGUUUCGAAGUGAUUUCGUAGAAUAUCAUUGUUUUUGUUUUUUCUCAUUAAUGUUCGGAUACAAGCCCUUGGCUAUGAUAUGUGAGAUUGUGGAUUUCAUACAUGAAAUUGUUUUUGUUCUAUGCAUGAUCCUUUAUUAGAUUUAUAUGAUGCAACUGUGUUAUUAUUUGGUUGUGUGCUAUUGGAUUGGAAUGGUGGAGGGAUAUACUGGAUGUGUUAUUUUUGAAUUAUAUGCUGGUGGAAUGGUAGAGGGAUAUGCUGCAUGUGUUAUUUUUGAAUUAUAUGCUGGUGGAAUAGUGGAGGGAUAUGCUGCAUGUGUUAUUCUUUAAUUGUGUGCUACUGGAAUGGUGGAGGGAUAUAUGAUAUUAUGUUAUUUUUUCAUUGUAUGCUAUUGGAAUUGAGGGAGAAGCUGCAAAUCUGUUAUUCUUUAAUUGUGUGCUACUGGAAUGGUGGAGGGAUAAAUGAUAUCCUGUUAUUUUUUAAUUGUAUGCUACUGGAAUUGAUCCUCUGUAACUGUAGAUCUGUUAUUCUUUAAUUAUUUCCUAAAGAAUAAAUGUGUUUUUAAUGUGCAGCAAUUAUCAAUAUCUACGAGAAAGCAUGGAACAAUUCCCUUACAAACUAGUUAUGGGGAUUAAAUGACAGAAAGAUGCAAAUGAUAAGGCAAAUUAAAAUGACAACGACAAUCAUAAGCAUAAUCUUUUCUGCCUUUUACAGAAACAUUAGUUUUUGUUUACAUCCACUGAAGCAUUCAUGAUACAAUUCGCAAAUAAAGAAAGAAAGAUAAUAAUACAUUAAUUAAUUACACAACUUAAAUAUAAUACAUAUUAAAACAGUUAUCAUUAUUUGCGAGACGUAUGUUACCAGAAAACUUGGUUGUUGUCUUCGUUGAAGUUCUUGCUCAAGCAACUGAAAUUUAAGAGAUAAGCAUUCGAUUUGAUGGCCCAACUUGCGGACUUCUGCUAACAACAUGUCAAUUUUAUUUUUAUUUAUAAUACGAUCUUCCAUCCCUCUAAAAUCAUUACAUUCACUGCUCUUCCAAUCAUCAUCCCAUUCAAAAGCCCCACAUCCUUUGCACUUCCAAAACCUACGAUUCGGAUUUUCUUUUGUACGUGAAGUUCGCAAGACCUUAUUGUUGUUGCAACAUUUAUCACAAGCUUUCACUUCUGUUUGAAUUUCGCUUGUGCUUGAAGACAUAAGAUUGAACAAAUUCUGUUCAAUAUACACAACAACCCAGAUUCCUUUGCACUUCCAAAACCUAGAUUCAGAUUUUCUUUUGUACGUGAAGUUUGCAAGACCUUAUUGUUGUUGCAGCAUUUAUCACAAGCUUUCACUUGUGUUUGAAUUUCGCUUGUGCUUGAAGACAUAAGAUUGAACAAAUUCUGUUCAAUAUACACAACAACCCAGAUUCCUUCCAGAAAGAAAAAAUGGUAGUCAAUAUAUUAAAAACCAGCUUACUGAACCAACUUUAAAAUUACCAAUUGCAUCUUUAUGCUAAUGACCACCAAUUCAACUUCAACCAUGCAAAGACAAAAAAAAAUGUUAACAUAAGUAUGUGCUAAGUCUAAUUUUCUUUUUUUCUCCCAAAAAAAAAAAAGAAAUACAUCUUACUGCAUUCAUCUCAAAAGUACAACAAAAAGUCUACGCUAAUUCCAUUCAGCUCAAAUAAAAUUAUUCAAUUUCAACUACAAAGAAAACAAAAAGAAGAAAAAUAUGGUAUGUUUGCUACUCAUUUCAAAAAUGUCUAAGAGGAACACAAGAAUAAUCAACUCACCCAUCAGUUGGAAUAUUUGUAGUAGUCAACUUCAAAGGAUAUAACGGAUUGCCAAUUGUAACCAAGAAAUUGCAUGUAAAUAACUAUCAAAAUGCCAUCUCCAGCACAAGACCAUCUACUAAGGCUAUCAAAAUCCCAUCUCCAGCACAAGGCCAUCUCCUAAGACUAUUGAAAAUAAUUGUCUCAUUUGCUCACAAUAUCAACUGGAUUUUCAAAAAUUAAAAAUCAACUCACGGAAAUUUGCCAUUACCUAUACAAUUCGACUACAACAUCAAUCCAAGUGCAAUUAAGCUCACAAUAUCAACUAGAUUUUCAAAAAUUAAAAAUCAACUCAUGGAAAUUUGCCAUUACCUAUACAAUUCGACUACAACAUCAAUCCAAGUGCAAUUAAGCUGACAAUAUCAACUGGAUUUUCAAAAAUUAAAAAUCAACUCACGGAAAUUUGCCAUUACCUAUACAAUUCGAGAGAACAGAGACGAUAGAGAAGAGAGAGAGCAUAUCCACACUGAGAGACCAACGGCGAGAGACCCACGGCCAGAGACCAACGCCGAGCACCACUGCCUGAGAAAGUUUGAGAAUAGAGACGACAGAGAAGAGAGAGAGCAAACCCACGGUGAGAGACUAACGGUGAGAGACCCACGGCUGGAGACCCACGGCCAGAGACCAACGUCGAGCACCACUGCCUGAGAAAGUUUGAGAACGGAGAUCGAAGAGAGACACUGCAAGAGAAACGGUGAGAUUUCUGUGAGAGCAAAUGGAGAAAAGGUGUGUGUCGCGUGAGAUCUAUUGCGCGUGUGUUGUGGUGGCUAUGUGUGUAUCACGUGAGUUGGCUCAUUUUAUACUAUGCCCAAAAUGCACUGUUUGGUGCUUAUUGUGGUGCUUAACAUGGGAAGAGUCUCAUUUUCCUAUUAAAAUACCAAUUUCGAAUCGAGUUCAGGCGCCAGAGCAAUUUUCUCGAACCUGGCCCGAGUUAUUCUUGGGCUUGGGCCGGACGACCAAGUCCUCCUUGAUUAAAAUUUUGAGACUUUUCGAGGUUCACAGGGAUUUUGGCAUCCCUAGUCGAAUCAACACCGAUGUGAUCUACACAACCAGUGUACAUACCAUUUGAUACUGAAACACCAAAUACUUAGAUGUAAUCAGCAACAAUGACACACACACACACAUAUAUAUAUGUAGAGCUAAUAUUAAAAAUUGUUAUUUUAUUAUACUUUUCUUCAGUGUAUGCCAUCUUUUGGGCAGGCAUGGCAUUAAUGAGCAAAAAUGAAGACAACACACACAUUACACACACACACACAGUGUAAUUGAAAUAUCGAACUGGCAAGGACACAAAAUGAAUUUAAUAGUAUAUAUUAUCUCAUUAUGGCAAAUCUAAAAAACACAAACUUAUUUAACAGCUAGCAAAUUUAAAAAUCACGACAGCAUCAAAAAUUGCGCACAAGAAUUUAAUUAACGGGGACUUAAAAUGGAGUUGAUAUGAUCAGCAAUGUUUUGGGCAUCAGCAGCAGCUCCAUAGAGUCCUUUCCUCGACAAUCCAACGCAGUAUAAACCAUUCUUCCCUUUCCAAUGAUUUGGGUAACUUUGCUUUGGAAUUCCAUCAUCGUUCAGCAUAGAAUCAUCCCCCUGCUCAACAACAACAAGAAAAAAAAAAAAAAUCUAAGAUUGAUUUGUACUUUUUGUAACCAUUAACGCGAAAGAGUAACAAAUUAUUAUAGAAACAAUAAAAAAUAAAAUGGUAAAAGGCGAUUUGUUUUUGGGGGAGGCAAAGUGAGAAUCGUCUUCUUUCCAAUAUACAUGUAUAUAAACAUUAUAUUACCUUGAGCCAAACAUUUGUUGAUCUCUUGAAGCCAGUACAGAAAACAAUCGAGUCAAAGUGAUGGGAGUGGCCAUUCUCAAAUAUCACCUCGUUGCCUCUAAUGCUCUCGAUUCCCGGCAAUACCUGUGCAGGAGGAAUUUUAAAUUAUAUCACAAGUAAUACAACAAUCAACUAACUUAGUCAUAUACCACAUGUGUAAUUAAAAAAUUAAUAUAAUUACUACUUAUAUAUUAAUUUUUCAUAAUAUAUACUUAUAAUUUUAUAUUUAUUAUAUAAUUAAUAUAAUAUUUUAGAUGUAUUUUAAAAUUUUUGUUAGUGCGGGUAUAUUUUUACCUGUGUGUAUAUAUAGGGAGAGAGAGGAAGGCCGGCGAGCCCAUUCAAAUAAUAAAUAUCUGAUCACGUAGAAAUUAAUUACCUGAAUCUGCCCAGACUUGAUUUUCUCACAGGUGCCGGCAUCGAUGACCGGGUACUUUCCAUAAGCAGCUUUCAUGAAAAAAGGACCUUCCCUGGGCUUGUGGAUCCCAUACUUGCUCAAAUCUCCAUAAACAAGCCUGCUAAGCAUCACCAUCAAUGUGUCGACCCCGCCGCAUGGAACAUACCUCAAUAAAACUAACCCCAAAUACACCAUCUCCCUCGACAGCACAUGAACCUGAUUAAUUAAUUAAUCGAGUAGAUAGAUAUAUAGAAAUUAAGUAAAAAAAUAUGUGCAUGCCAAGUGAAAUAAUAAUGAAUUUACCCACCGGGCUACGGAUAACUAAAGAGGUUUUGGCGGCAUGGUUGGCUAGAUCCAGUGCAAUUUCCAUGCCAGAAUUUCCAGAGCCAACGACCAACACAUUCUUGCCGCCAUAAGGUUUCCCAUUUUUAUACUGAGUGGAAUGAAUAACUUCUCCAGUCCCGGUGGCACUACUGCAGAAAGAGCUCAGUCCUCGAAUAUCCGGCGUAAAAGGGUUGCUCGUUUCCCCACUUGCAACCACCAGAAACCUCCCGGAAUAAUAUUCCUCAAUCACACGGCCGGGACUUAGUAAGUUGCUAGCCUUAACGUUCCACAUAUUGGUUGCCUCGUCGUAGCUCGCCGAUUCAACGGAUCUUUGGUACCGUAUUGACGGAACGAUGUUGAAAUGGGAAACGUAGUGAUCCAAGUAUUCAAUGAAUUGGGCCCUGGAGACAAACAUCGGAUAAGAAGAAGGGAAUGGCAGGUGAGGGAGCUGACAAAAUUGCUUUGCUAAGUGCAGACGUAGGCGAUCGUAGGAAUAUUUCUUCCAGAUGGACGCGUAACAAUUUUCUCUUUCGAGGAUUACGUAAGGGAUUGAUUGAAGGCUAAGGCAGGCCGCCGUCGCCAG
This 17662-nucleotide long non-coding RNA is filed under the name Citrus x clementina. Its description in RNAcentral is "Citrus clementina (C. clementina) long non-coding RNA (CCLE_LNC004648)". The stretch from base 4999 to 5105 matches the Rfam family "Plant small nucleolar RNA R71". The record is from RNAcentral. Lineage: Eukaryota; Viridiplantae; Streptophyta; Magnoliopsida; Sapindales; Rutaceae.